This 442-nucleotide ribosomal RNA is filed under the name uncultured bacterium. Its description in RNAcentral is "partial 16S ribosomal RNA". It matches the Rfam family "Bacterial small subunit ribosomal RNA", at positions 338 to 795 of the family's 1533-position model. The record is from RNAcentral.
CCUACGGGGGGCAGCAGUAGGGAAUCUUUCACAAUGGGCGAAAGCCUGAUGGAGCAACGCCGCGUGCAGGAUGAAGGCCUUCGGGUUGUAAACUGCUUUUAUAAGCGAGAAAUAUGAUGGUAACUUAUGAAUAAGGAUCGGCUAACUACGUGCCAGCAGCCGCGGUCAUACGUAGGAUCCGAGCAUUAUCCGGAGUGACUGGGUGUAAAGAGUUGCGUAGGUGGCAUAAUAAGUAGCUAGUGAAAUCUGGUGGCUCAACCAUUCAGACUAUUAGCUAAACUGUUAAGCUCGAGACCGUUAGGGGUAACUGGAAUUGCUAGUGUAGGAGUGAAAUCCGUAGAUAUUAGAAGGAACACCAAUAGCGUAGGCAGGUUGCUGGGACGGUUCUGACACUAAGGCACGAAAGCGUAGGGAGCAAACGGGAUUGGAUACCCGAGUAGUC